UACGGAGGGGGCUAGCGUUGUUCGGAAUUACUGGGCGUAAAGCGCACGUAGGCGGCUUUGUAAGUUAGAGGUGAAAGCCCGGGGCUCAACCCCGGAAUUGCCUUUAAGACUGCAUCGCUUGAAUUGUGGAGAGGUGAGUGGAAUUCCGAGUGUAGAGGUGAAAUUCGUAGAUAUUCGGAAGAACACCAGUGGCGAAGGCGACUCACUGGACACAUAUUGACGCUGAGGUGCGAAAGCGUGGGGAGCAAACAGG
RNAcentral lists this ribosomal RNA (253 nucleotides) under uncultured bacterium. RNAcentral's name for it is "partial 16S ribosomal RNA". It matches the Rfam family "Bacterial small subunit ribosomal RNA", at positions 524 to 776 of the family's 1533-position model. The record is from RNAcentral.